GUGCCAGCAGCCGCGGUAAUACGUAGGGUCCGAGCGUUGUCCGGAAUUAUUGGGCGUAAAGAGCUCGUAUGGCGGCGUGUCGCGUCCGCUGUGAAAGACCGGGGCUCAACUCCGGUUCUGCAGUGGAUACGGGCAUGCUAGAGGUAGGUAGGGGAGACUGGAAUUCCUGGUGUAGCAGGUGAAAUGCGCAGAUAUCAGGAGGAACACCGGUGGCGAAGGCGGGUCUCUGGGCCUUACCUGACGCUGAGGAGCGAAAGCAUGGGGAGCGAACAGGAUUAGAUACCCUGGUAGUCC
This 294-nucleotide ribosomal RNA is filed under the name uncultured microorganism. Its description in RNAcentral is "partial 16S ribosomal RNA". It matches the Rfam family "Bacterial small subunit ribosomal RNA", at positions 505 to 796 of the family's 1533-position model. The record is from RNAcentral.